GUUGGUUGUUACCUGAAGACUCCUAAAUACCCAAUUUGGUUGGUAUGCAGCGAAAGCCACUUCAGUGUGCUUUUUUGUCUGGAAAAGGAUUUACAAGGCGACUGGAAAACUGAGCGGAAGUUUGACCUCUAUUAUUAUGAUGGCUUGGCCAACCAAGAAGAAGAAAUACGACUAACAGUUGACACGACUCAGAUGUGCACUGAAGAUAAUGAUCUUACUCCUCCACUUGAGCACUGCAUCAGGACAAAGUGGCAAGGAGCUGUUAUUGACUGGAAUGGCACAGAACCAAUCUUGUGACUGACCCGACCUGCACUUUAUUUGCAAAGAAAAAAAAGGAAAUGACAGAAUUAGCACAUUCCUAUUCCCACCAAUACAGGAAAUAGGACAGGAGUCCUGUGCUGCUUAUGGUGAGAAAGAAUGACAUGGCUGUGUGCAAGCUGAUGGAGCGUCACCUUGUUCGCCUCAUGCUUUGGAUAUUUUGCUUAUAAUGCAAACAACACUUAGAUAAAUUCUUUGUUGAUGCCUUUAAUGUACAGUUUCAAUGUGUAGGCUGAGAGUCUCCAAUGUCAAGUGAUGGUUAUGGAUAAAGCAAUGGAGUUGUCUGUGUCCCCUCGAGGUCCCUUUCUGGAUCAACUCUGUAUUCUGCAAUUGUUCCCAAAAAUCUGAUGAAAGGAGCUGAGCUGCUAUUUCUGUCCCUGUUUUGCCUUCCUGUACUGCCUCGUUCUUCACCUGCAACACUCCAGUGCCAGGAUGAAACAUCAUCCAAGAAAUAAAUAUUCACUUCAUUACCAUAUAUUACUAAGUCCAAAUCUAAGACUGAACCUACUGGUAGCCAUAUGGGCUAGAGUUUACUUACUAGGCUUUAUUUACACCAAAGUGGCCGAUAAGUGCUGUUGGAUUGGAAAUGUAAAGGGCACCUGUCUGUGAUAUAUACUGUUAUUCAUGAGUAAAUAAAGUGCGUGUGAGAAAAUGGUGUACAGUGGAGAUGUACCAUGAGGUACCAAAACAGCAGUUUGUGUUCUGAAAUGAAUUUUUUAAGUGACAUAUUUUGGCGAAAAUUUACCAAAAUUGGAAUGAGUUACUGUUCUGAAGAUUGGAAAAAAUGCUUUGGAAAAUAUUAAUUGCUAAUGGACAAUUUGCAGAGAAACGGUGUUUCUAGAAUUAUUUUUAUCUUUUGAGAGUGCAGUUAUCAUGGGAGCUUCAUAACAGACUUUUAAUUUCUGAUUUUAUCAUAGCAUUCUCUUACUGCUCACUAUGCAAACCUCUCCGAGCCCAAAUGAACCACUUGCUAUUUUCAAAAUCAAUUUCCACCAGAAAUUCAAUGUUCUACUCCAUGUAGCUGGAAGAUACCAAGCUGCCUCUGCAGAUACAAAUUUCAGGGCACUGGCACGUGAGCUAGAUUUGGAAACCAACCUGUGCAUGCUAGCAGAAAACAUGAGAUAGUCUGUGAAUGAGCAUCAGGCCCUGCUUUGCUUCCUGCACACAUCAAAGUGUCUACACGUGGUAAAACAUCUCAGAGCUGCGGUCGUUUUCAUUUUAUGUGAUGCAAUAUAAUGUAAUUUGUUUUAGGUCAGAUAGGCAAACUUCUUUCUGUGAACUUGGUGAGAUGUAUAUCUCCCUUUCAGCAUCACGGAGAGCAUCAGAUCUGAGUCCAGUGCCGAUUCCCCAUGUGACCUUUGCCAACUCCCUACAUUUCACUGUACGUAGGGGGAUGUUUGCACAGCCAGCUGCAGGUGGACUCAAGGCUGCCUUUAUGAUGCACACCUCAUCUGACCUUUAAGAGCUCCAUUUUCUGGAUCCCGAACAUUCAAAGAUCCCAGUGUGGCACGGCUUGGAGCAUGGAGUCAGCCAGGCCACCAGCUUGUAUUAAACACCUUUUUUCUUGAAUUUUCCUAUCAACUACAGUCCCCAUGUGCUCAAUGGAGCAAACAGUCCAAGAGGGCAGCAAGAUCAUAAAAUAAGAUUUCUCAAAAUGCAUUUGGACAGAAAAUAGUGAAGAGAUGAAAAACAAUGAAAGAUUUUUGGAACUAGGUGUACCAAAAAACCUCCUUUCUAGAAGUGUUCCUCUGGGAGGAAGGGAGCUGCUGUGUUACCGCCCUGAUUUCAUCUGGCUGGAAUAUGGAUGUCUCCAAUGCAGAUGUGUGAUGAGGAGCUCUUGCUCUGGGCUCCCUUCAGAGUAGGGUGUGAUUUAUCUUUUCUUAUGGACAAGAAGAAAUGUGCUCCUGACUGGAGGAUUAUAAACUGAGUAUAGAUGGAGCCCAAGGGGAUUGCCUCAGAUGAACUCCAUCCCUCAAGAUGUAAUAAUUUUUCAGGUUUUAAGAAAGAGUUGAAGAUUAAUGAAUAAGGCUUGGAGACUGAUAAUGUUUUAUGGUUUAUCUUGAAAGAUUAAUGAAGGUGGGAGGGAGCUCUGUACUCUGAUCCUCUUUUUAAAACAGGCUGCAAAGCCUUUAAGGCUCCGUUCUUACUGAUUAUGAAGAAUAGUUUUAUUGAACCUUAAAUUCUAUUAUAACAGAAUCCCAUUGGGCCAGAUCUUUCUUACUCAUUAUCUGUAAUUAUUUCUACACACGUUUUUAUGUAAAGUCCAUUGUCUGCCAUUUGUUUAAAAUUGAACUAACUCAAGAUUCACCUGUGCCAAGAAGUGUUGUACAACACUUGGGCCAUAUUCCUAAAGCAUUGCCUCUGCAGGGCAAUCCCACCAAGCUGGAGCACUGCAUUGCUAAACUGCUGCCACCAGUCUUGCUCUUGAGGUUUCCUGAGGCAUCCUUCAAUAAAGAGGGAACAGACAAUGAAAAUACUCACUUAGAUCUACCUCUUCAGCAGAGAACCAACCAACCGAACCUCUGUCUAUUUCUGCAUCAAGAAAACACACAUUUCAAUUUGAUGAUAAAACACAUGAAGCAAUUUGCCUUCAGGCAUCACAUAUCUUUUGGAAUCGAAUAAUCAGACAAACCAAUACAAAAUGUUAUGCAGCGACGCAAAAACCUUUGCACAGACCUGUGCAGAAGCAUAUCCUGUUGUAGGAGCCUACGUCUAGUUUGUUGAUUAUGUUUUCCUUCUCAUUGUUUCCCGAUUUCAUUUUCAUUGCCCGAUGAACGUGACUUCCUGAGGUGAACAAAGCAACUGUUUGCGAAUAGUGCAGUACAAGACACUGGCACUGGGCCUCUAUGUAUAUCUUAAAAUCAUUCUCUUCCCUUCUGUGCUAUGAAAAAUACACCCUCUCACCCUCCAUGACGCCUUAGCUUACAACAGACAUCAGCUAUUGUAAAUCUGAGCAGAAGUGCUAUUUUGGUAAAGUGUCAUUGAAUAUUGCCCCUUGUGCAAAAUGUACAGUUACCUUUGUUUUGUACAGAAUGUCUCCU
This is a non-coding RNA of Phasianus colchicus (ring-necked pheasant), 3359 nucleotides long. NCBI's taxonomy places the organism in Eukaryota, Metazoa, Chordata, Aves, Galliformes, Phasianidae. The record is from RefSeq and is a predicted model, not a curated record.